RNAcentral lists this ribosomal RNA (465 nucleotides) under uncultured bacterium. RNAcentral's name for it is "partial 16S ribosomal RNA". It matches the Rfam family "Bacterial small subunit ribosomal RNA", at positions 338 to 795 of the family's 1533-position model. The record is from RNAcentral.
CCUACGGGCGACUGCAGUAGGGAAUCUUCCACAAUGGGCGAAAGCCUGAUGGAGCAACACCGCGUGAGUGAUGACGGGUUUCGGCUCGUAAAGCUCUGUCGUCGGAGACGAACGUGAGUGUGAGUAACUGUUAAGGCAGUGCCGGCAUCGAACCAGCAGGUGCGGGCUAACUAAGUGCCAGAAGCCGCGGUAAUUCGUAGGUGGCAAGCGUUAUCCGGGUUUAAUGGGCGUAAAGCGAGCGCAGGCGGCCGCUUAGGUCUGAUGUGAAAUCCUUCGGCUUAACCUGAGGAGUGCAUGGGAAACCGGAAGACUAGAGUGCAGGAGAGGACAAUGGAACUCCAAGUGUAGCGGUGGAAUGCGUAGAGAUAUGGAAGAACACCAGUGGCGAAGGCGAUUGUCUGGUCUGCAACUGACGCUGAGGCUCGAAAGCAUGGGGAGCAAACAGGAUUAGAUACCCGGGUAGUC